RNAcentral lists this ribosomal RNA (233 nucleotides) under uncultured bacterium. Its description in RNAcentral is "partial 16S ribosomal RNA". It matches the Rfam family "Bacterial small subunit ribosomal RNA", at positions 29 to 249 of the family's 1533-position model. The record is from RNAcentral.
AACGAACGCUGGCGGCGUGCCUAACACAUGCAAGUCGAGCGCGAAAAGAGCAAUCUGAGUAGAGCGGCGCACGGGUGCGUAACACGUGGGUAAUCUGCCUCGAGGUCUGGGAUAACCUUCCGAAAGGUUGGCUAAUACCAGUUAAGCUCACGGUGACUUCGGUCGCUGAGAGAAAAGGGGCCCGGAAACGGGUACGUCGCCACGAGAUGAGCCCGCCGGCCCACUCAGCUAGU